Molecule: small RNA, 78 nt
Filed under: Flavobacterium hercynium
Lineage: Bacteria; Pseudomonadati; Bacteroidota; Flavobacteriia; Flavobacteriales; Flavobacteriaceae
Description: Flavo-1 RNA
Rfam family: Flavo-1 RNA
Source: Rfam by way of RNAcentral
CCAUAGCCCAGACAGCAGCGGCAUCCUUUGCUUGCUUUCUUUAAGCAAGGAAAGAUAUAGCGAAUGGCUGGAAUAGCU